CCUACGGGAGGCUGCAGUGGGGAAUAUUGCACAAUGGGCGAAAGCCUGAUGCAGCAACGCCGCGUGAACGAUGAAGGCCUUCGGGUCGUAAAGCUCUGUCCUCAAGGAAGAUAAUGACGGUACUUGAGGAGGAAGCCCCGGCUAACUACGUGCCAGCAGCCGCGGUAAUACGUAGGGGGCUUGCGUUAUCCGGAAUUACUGGGCGUAAAGGGUGGGGAGGUGGUAUCUUAAUUAAGAGGUGAAAGGCUACGGCGAAACCGUAGUAAGCAUAUCAAACUGGGAAACUUGAGUGCAGGAGAGGAGAGUGGAAUUCCUAGUGUAGCGGUGAAAUGCGUAGAUAUUAGGAGGAACACCAGUUGCGAAGGCGGCUCUCUGGACUGUAACUGACACUGAGGCACGAAAGCGUGGGGAGCAAACAGGAUUAGAUACCCCAGUAGUC
Molecule: ribosomal RNA, 439 nt
Filed under: uncultured bacterium
Lineage: Bacteria
Description: partial 16S ribosomal RNA
Rfam family: Bacterial small subunit ribosomal RNA
Source: RNAcentral